AUUGAACGCUGGCGGCAGGCCUAACACAUGCAAGUCGAGCGAGCGGCGGACGGGUGAGUAAUGUAUGGGGACUGCCCGAUAGAGGGGGAUAACUACUGGAAACGGUGGCUAAUACAGCAUACUAUCGGAUAACCUAUAUGGGAUUAGCCAGUAGGUGGGGUAAAGGCUAACAUAGGCGACGAUCUCUAGCUGGUCAGAGAGGAUGACCAGCCACGCUUGUACUGGUGCACGGCCCAGUCUCCUACGGAGGCAGCAGUGGGGAAUAUUGCACGAUGGGCGCAAGCCUGAUGCAGCCAUGCCGCGUGUAUGACGAAGGCCUUAGGUUUGUAAAGUACUUUCAGCGGGGAUGCGUUACCCGCAGAAGAAGCACCGGCUAACUCCGUGCCAGCAGCCGCGGUAAUAC
This 403-nucleotide ribosomal RNA is filed under the name uncultured bacterium. Its description in RNAcentral is "partial 16S ribosomal RNA". It matches the Rfam family "Bacterial small subunit ribosomal RNA", at positions 30 to 526 of the family's 1533-position model. The record is from RNAcentral.